Molecule: ribosomal RNA, 503 nt
Filed under: uncultured bacterium
Lineage: Bacteria
Description: bacterial SSU rRNA
Rfam family: Bacterial small subunit ribosomal RNA
Source: RNAcentral
GACGAACGCUGGCGGCGUGGAUUAGGCAUGCAAGUCGAACGGUAUCAUCCUUUCGGGGGUGAGAGAGUGGCGAACUGGUGAGUAACACGUAGGUUAUCUACCCUCAAGACGGGGGACAACCCAGGGAAACUUGGGCUAAUACCGGAUGUGAGCAACUUUUAGUUGUUUGAAAGGUGGCGUAAGCUGUCGCUUGGGGAUGAGCCUGCGUCCUAUUAGUUAGUUGGUGAGGUAACGGCUCACCUAGGCAAUGAUAGGUAGGCGGCCUUAACGGGUGGUCGCCCACACUGGGAUUGAGAUACGGCCCAGACUCCUACGGGAGGCAGGCAGUCGAGAAUAGUCUACAAUGGUCGGAAGACUGAUAGUGCGACGCCGCGUGAACGAUGAAUCCCUUCGGGGUGUAAAGUUCUUUUAUAUGUGAGCAGUGCUUCUUAUAUUAACAGUAUGGGGAGAGAGAUAUUAGCAUAUGAAUAAGCAACGGCUAACUCCGUGCCAGCAGCCGCGGU